Long non-coding RNA from Acanthopagrus latus (yellowfin seabream), 1920 nucleotides. RefSeq lists it as uncharacterized. The transcript is spliced from 3 exons. The record is from RefSeq and is a predicted model, not a curated record. NCBI's taxonomy places the organism in Eukaryota, Metazoa, Chordata, Actinopteri, Spariformes, Sparidae.
UUCUACACGCACCACUAAACACAUCAUGUAAGUUAUGUGACAUACUGCUAACACACAAAAACGGUAACUUAAGUUUAAAAGGCAUGGAGAAAUGUACCUGUUUAGAACAUGGGGUAUUGGAGCACUUCACCCUCUUCUGGUCAGAAGUAGUAUUACAACAAUAUAUAUUUAAACAAAUGAUCCUGACCAAAAGAAAAACAGAUACAUUUGAAAAAGAAAUUAGAGUAAUCAUCGUAGAGAAACUUGUUUUUACCUGCUACGACUUAAUUUGAAAAAAAAUAAAAUAAACAGAUUUCCAGAAUAGUUAGGAUAUGUUUUUAAGUCAUGACUUUAAAUUUUCAGCUAGAAGUCACUUUUUGUAUUAGAAAACAUCUGACAACACUUCAAACAGAAGUAGUAGAAAUGAUCAAUGUCACUUUGUAAUAGCCAUCAUUAAUAAAUGAUAAAUAUAAAGAUAAUUUCACUCUUAACAAACAAUUAAAUGCUUUGUAAACUAGCAAUUAUAAAGGAUUAUAAUCAGUCAACCUUAAUGUUGCCAUCGAGAUCAUGUUUGUAGAAGAACAACACAGAAUUCAUAAACUAUUUACAAAGUCUUUUGUUUGUUAUCAGUGAAUAAGUAUUUCCUUAAGUCUAAGUUUAUAGUUUGUAUUUAAAAAGUAAGUUUAAAAAGUACGAGCUACAGAGAAACUGUAUGUCCAGCAGUUCAGUUCUUCCAUCACAGGGUGGCAGUAUGUAACAACCCAACAACACACUGCUGACACUGCAGGGACAGACAGGUUUCUGUCUCCUCGAUGGACUUAACUUUACAAACUGACAGACAGAACAGAGCAGGAGGAGACAGAAGAAGCAGUGUGAUGCCACUGAACAGGAUGGAAAGGAGUCAACAUAAAGUGAACGGAAACCAGAAAUCAUCAUAGUGUUUCAUGAUGGGAGUCCAGCAAAGACCCUGAUAAAGACCACCAGCUGAAACAUGUUGGUCCAAUAAUUAAGCUGUUCUGUGAACCACCAGUGAAGUUGAUUUCCUCUUCAGACUUUUUUCCUUUUCCAUCUACCUUGGAAGUUGGUAAAGCUCUUCCAGAAAUCCCUUCUCUGCUUCCACAGUCCAGUAAAGAACCUAAUUGUGUACAGGUGUUGCCAAGGUGAUCCCAGAUGACUCAGGAGAAGGCUGCUCGUUCGCUGGUUGUCUUGGAGGAAUGCGGAUCCCGACCUCCGAGAGGAUCUUGUGUGUCUUCAACAAACUCCAAGCGCAGAGGGCGAGGGGGGUCCACUGCCACGCUCCGUCUCCCGCUAAAGAGGUUUAUCCAUGUGUGGCACCACACUGUCCGCGAGACAUCCUGUCAACAGGCCUGCCGCCCUGCUUCUUUGUCCUCUGUUCCCUGGUCCCUCUGCAUGCAAGAAGCCAGACUUUUAGUCCAUCAGUGCGACGGAAGAAGGAGGGAGAUUCUUUCUUGAAAAGGGCAAUAAAGUAAGGUGGCGUAAUCCAGCGAUUGUUUUGUCUGCAUCAUCGUGAAAGAAAGAUAAGGCUCCUCCGGGAUUGUCCAUGCACUGGAUUAGCUGCUAAUCCCUCCUGUCUUCCCUCCCUCUCUGACUCCCUCACUUGCUCUCUGCCUUCUUCAAUCCACUUAGUCCUUCGAUGGUCUCCGAUGGCAGCGGGGGGCUUCUGUGUUUUCAUGCAGUUCACUUGAGGCCGGCUAAGAGAACAGACAGGGAGACAAGGGGAGAGGUGUGAGUUACACACUGGACCAAAGACUAAAGCAUGUGCACUGAGGCUCACAUAAACGUGUCAGGCAACUAAGACACUGGAUUGACUGAUUCUGGGGGUGUUUUCUCUCUCUCUCUCUGUUGCCUGAGAAGUGAGCAGGUUCUCAAGAAUUUGUUCAGGGACGGAACCAAACAAAUAAAACCUGAGUGCAGUGGGAA